UACGUAGGUGGCAAGCGUUGUCCGGAUUUACUGGGUGUAAAGGGCGUGCAGCCGGGCUGACGAGUCAGAUGUGAAAUCCCGCGGCUCAACCGCGGAACUGCAUUUGAAACUGUCAGUCUUGAGUACCGGAGAGGUCAUCGGAAUUCCUUGUGUAGCGGUGAAAUGCGUAGAUAUAAGGAAGAACACCAGUGGCGAAGGCGGAUGACUGGACGGCAACUGACGGUGAGGCGCGAAAGCGUGGGGAGCAAACAGG
This 253-nucleotide ribosomal RNA is filed under the name uncultured bacterium. Its description in RNAcentral is "partial 16S ribosomal RNA". It matches the Rfam family "Bacterial small subunit ribosomal RNA", at positions 524 to 776 of the family's 1533-position model. The record is from RNAcentral.